Molecule: ribosomal RNA, 373 nt
Filed under: uncultured organism
Description: partial 16S ribosomal RNA
Rfam family: Bacterial small subunit ribosomal RNA
Source: RNAcentral
GUAGGUGGCAAGCGUUGUCCGGAAUUAUUGGGCGUAAAGCGCGCGCAGGCGGUUCUUUAAGUCUGAUGUGAAAGCCCACGGCUCAACCGUGGAGGGUCAUUGGAAACUGGAGAACUUGAGUACAGAAGAGGAAAGCGGAAUUCCACGUGUAGCGGUGAAAUGCGUAGAGAUGUGGAGGAACACCAGUGGCGAAGGCGGCUUUCUGGUCUGUAACUGACGCUGAGGCGCGAAAGCGUGGGGAGCAAACAGGGAUUAGAUACCCUGGUAGUCCACGCCGUAAACGAUGAGUGCUAAGUGUUAGGGGGGUUUCCGCCCCCUUAGUGCUGCAGCUAACGCAUUAAGCACUCCGCCUGGGAGUACGGCCGCAAGGCUG